AUGAGGCAGGCUCAAGUGAUGAGAGAAAAACUGCAACAAUAUGAUGGGAGAUAUGCUCCUGUGAUUCCUAAGUAUUUAAGUCUCUGAUGUACCCAAUGCACAU
Molecule: small nucleolar RNA, 103 nt
Filed under: Oryza sativa (Asian cultivated rice)
Lineage: Eukaryota; Viridiplantae; Streptophyta; Magnoliopsida; Poales; Poaceae
Description: box C/D snoRNA J15.4
Rfam family: Small nucleolar RNA Z199 (bases 9-93)
About the family: snoZ199 is a C/D box small nucleolar RNA, which acts as a methylation guide RNA for sites on 18S and 25S rRNA. Rice snoZ199 is reported to be homologous to Arabidopsis snoR13.
Source: RNAcentral